This 349-nucleotide unclassified non-coding RNA is filed under the name uncultured fungus. RNAcentral's name for it is "partial contains small subunit ribosomal RNA, internal transcribed spacer 1, and 5.8S ribosomal RNA". The stretch from base 1 to 73 matches the Rfam family "Eukaryotic small subunit ribosomal RNA", at positions 1759 to 1831 of the family's 1831-position model. Lineage: Eukaryota; Fungi. The record is from RNAcentral.
ACAAACUUGGUCAUUUAGAGGAAGUAAAAGUCGUAACAAGGUUUCCGUAGGUGAACCUGCGGAAGGAUCAUUGCUGAUACGGACGCACACGCUGUGGGUCGGUGUUCGCCACCGUCACGCUCGAGUGCGUCUUCCUAUCACCCCGCCCCUUUGUGAACUUGGCUGCACGUGAGGCGCCUUCGAUCACACCCGACGGCUGAGCUGGGGCCCAGCCGUCGCGUCGGUGUUCUUCAUGUGUGGCCCACCCAACUGUAUUUUUGCGUGUCUCACAGACUGAAGCAAAAAAACAAAAUCAUUUACAACUUUUAACAAUGGAUAUCUUGGCUCGCGCAUCGAUGAAGAACGCAGC